RNAcentral lists this ribosomal RNA (1821 nucleotides) under Rhodococcus sp. ENV425. RNAcentral's name for it is "bacterial LSU rRNA". It matches the Rfam family "Bacterial large subunit ribosomal RNA", at positions 1222 to 2925 of the family's 2925-position model. Lineage: Bacteria; Bacillati; Actinomycetota; Actinomycetes; Mycobacteriales; Nocardiaceae. The record is from RNAcentral.
GGGUGGGUAGGGGAGCGUCGUGCAGCCGGGGAAGCGCCGGAGUGAUCCAGGUGUGGAGGCUGCGCGAGUGAGAAUGCAGGCAUGAGUAGCGAAAGACGAGUGAGAAACUCGUCCGCCGAAUGACCAAGGGUUCCUGGGCCAGGUUAAUCCGCCCAGGGUGAGUCGGGACCUAAGGCGAGGCCGACAGGCGUAGUCGAUGGACAACGGGUUGAUAUUCCCGUACCCGUGUGAACGCGCCCCUGGUGAAUCAUCGGUACUAACCGUCCAAAGGGUGAUCGAGUUCCUUCGGGAGCCGAGAGCCUGCUGCACGGGACCUUCGGUGGUAGUAGCCAAGCGAUGGGGUGACGCAGGAAGGUAGUGGGGCCGGUCAGUGGUUGUACCGGUGUAAGCCCGUAGGGCGUGACACAGGCAAAUCCGUGUCGCACAAAGCCUGAGAGGUGAUGCGUAGCCGAAUGAGGCGAAUUCCAUGAUCCUAUGCUGCCGAGAAAAGCCUCUAGCGAGCUUUCACACGGCCCGUACCCCAAACCGACACAGGUGGUCAGGUAGAGAAUACCGAGGCGAUCGAGAGAACUGUGGUUAAGGAACUCGGCAAAAUGCCCCCGUAACUUCGGGAGAAGGGGGACCAGUCCCGGUGACCGGACUUGCUCCGUGAGCCGGGGGUGGUCGCAGAGACCAGAGAGAAGCGACUGUUUACUAAAAACACAGGUCCGUGCGAAGUCGUAAGACGAGGUAUACGGACUGACGCCUGCCCGGUGCUGGAAGGUUAAGAGGACCGGUCAGCGGAGUUCACUCCGCGAAGCUGAGAAUUUAAGCCCCAGUAAACGGCGGUGGUAACUAUAACCAUCCUAAGGUAGCGAAAUUCCUUGUCGGGUAAGUUCCGACCUGCACGAAUGGCGUAACGACUUCUCUGCUGUCUCAACCACAGACUCGGCGAAAUUGCACUACGAGUAAAGAUGCUCGUUACGCGCGGCAGGACGAAAAGACCCCGGGACCUUCACUACAGCUUGGUAUUGGUGUUCGGUUCGGUUUGUGUAGGAUAGGUGGGAGACUGGGAAGCCCGCACGCCAGUGUGGGUGGAGUCGUUGUUGAAAUACCACUCUGAUCGUAUUGGACCUCUAACCUCGGACCCUGAUCGGGUUCAGGGACAGUGCCUGGUGGGUAGUUUAACUGGGGCGGUUGCCUCCCAAAAUGUAACGGAGGCGCCCAAAGGUUCCCUCAGCCUGGUUGGCAAUCAGGUGUCGAGUGCAAGUGCACAAGGGAGCUUGACUGUGAGACCGACAGGUCGAGCAGGGACGAAAGUCGGGACUAGUGAUCCGGCACCGGCAUGUGGAAGCGGUGUCGCUCAACGGAUAAAAGGUACCCCGGGGAUAACAGGCUGAUCUUCCCCAAGAGUCCAUAUCGACGGGAUGGUUUGGCACCUCGAUGUCGGCUCGUCGCAUCCUGGGGCUGGAGUAGGUCCCAAGGGUUGGGCUGUUCGCCCAUUAAAGCGGCACGCGAGCUGGGUUUAGAACGUCGUGAGACAGUUCGGUCUCUAUCCGCCGCGCGCGUUAGAAACUUGAGGAAGGCUGUCCCUAGUACGAGAGGACCGGGACGGACGAACCUCUGGUGUGCCAGUUGUCCCGCCAGGGGCACGGCUGGUUGGCUACGUUCGGAAGGGAUAACCGCUGAAAGCAUCUAAGCGGGAAGCCUGUUCCAAGAUGAGGUUUCUCACCCCCUCGAGGGGGUAAGGCCCCCGGCAGACCACCGGGUUGAUAGGCCGGAACUGGAAGUGCGGUAACGCAUGCAGGUGACCGGUACUAAUAGGCCGAGGACUUACCACAA